UCCUCCCUCUUUCUUCGUGCUUAACACAUGCAAGUCGAACGGAAAGGCCCUGCUUGCAGGGUGCUCGAGUGGCGAACGGGUGAGUAACACGUGGGUGAUCUGCCCCUUACUUUGGGAUAAGCCUGGGAAACUGGGUCUAAUACUGGAUAGGACCAUGCUGUAGGUGGUGUGGUGGAAAGAUUAGUUUCGGUAAGGGAUGAGCUCGCGGCCUAUCAGCUUGUUGGUGGGGUAAUGGCCUACCAAGGCGUCGACGGGUAGCCGGCCUGAGAGGGUGGACGGCCACAUUGGGACUGAGAUACGGCCCAGACUCCUACGGGAGGCAGCAGUGGGGAAUAUUGCACAAUGGGCGCAAGCCUGAUGCAGCGACGCCGCGGGGGGGAUGACGGCCUUCGGGUUGUAAACUCCUUUCAGCCAUGACGAAGCCCUUGUGGUGACGGUAGUGGUAGAAGAAGCACCGGCUAACUACGUG
RNAcentral lists this ribosomal RNA (469 nucleotides) under uncultured bacterium. Its description in RNAcentral is "partial 16S ribosomal RNA". It matches the Rfam family "Bacterial small subunit ribosomal RNA", at positions 36 to 507 of the family's 1533-position model. The record is from RNAcentral.